UACUUACAGAAAUUCAGAAUACAUACAUGCUUGCGCGCACUGCAUUCGUCCCUGUCUAUCAUCCACCACCGCCGUCUCCGCCUCCCGCAUGCGAAUUGGCCUUCGCUUCUGCUAUAUCUCCGUGAUCGCCGCAGCAACCAACCUCCGCAACACCCGAGGCCGCCACCCCCAGACUGACGCCGUUUUUGGGGGCCUGCUGCCCCCUGACAUCUGCUGUUUUCGCUAGGGUUCUUCCGAUUGUUCCACCGUCAAUUGCUUGCUCAACCAUAGGGGCGAAAUAAGUUGGAAUUCGAGGGCCAUGGCUCCGGGGCGCCGGCGCGGAGCCAAGGGGGUUAAGUCGAAGAACGACUUGGUUUUGGGCGAUCUCGUCCUCGCCAAAGUUAAGGGUUUCCCCGCUUGGCCUGCCAAGAUCAGCAGACCUGAAGACUGGCAGCGCGCUCCUGAUCCUAAAAAGUGCUUUGUCCAGUUCUUUGGUACAGCAGAAAUAGCUUUUGUUGCUCCUGUGGAUAUCCAAAUAUUCACCAAUGAAGCGAAAAAUAAAUUGUCAGCUCGAUGCCAGGGUAAGACUGUUAAAUACUUUGCCCAAGCGGUGAAGGAAAUAUGUGAAGAAUUUGAAGAGUUGCAGCGAAAAAGAUUAAGUGAUGUUGGAGAUGUUAACAGUACACAAACUCAUCCACAUGAGGCACAUUCUGUUGAUCCAAUGGUAGAAGGGGCAUUGGAUAUUUAUCAAAACAAUGGGAUUGCGCCAGAAUGCAAGUUGGAGACUAAAGAGUAUGAUGAUCCGGGCUCUGGCUUAGAGCAUUGUCCGCACAAGCAAGAUGCGGUGGAAUGUCAAGAUGUAAAGCCUUAUUUGUCUGAUGACGUGAGUCGUAGGUUGUCCCCUCCUUUAUCCUUGCGGAAGAGCAAUAAGAUCUCUUCAAACAACAACAAUGCUUCAAAGGAUUCACUAUCAGUUUCUAGCCAUUCACACCAUUUUCUUAAGAAGGAAGAUCCUCUUGAUAAAAGAGUAAAAGGCAGAUCAACUGAUGGUAGCCAGAAUGAAUUGACAAAUGGACACAGACAAAAGCUGGCAAUGGGGUCAAAGAAAAAAUCUCCGGGUGCAGAACAUAGUAGUGGUGGAUCAGCUGUUUCUCAUGAUCAUAAAGGAGAUGCGAUGAGAAGAAAAUUUGCUCCAGGUGAGGGCAUGAAGCUUUCAUCACCUGAUAUCCCAAAAUUACGUUUAGAUAUUAAUAGUCAGAAGAGGGAAAAGCAGUUGGUGAAAGAAAAAAGGCAAUCUGAGGCAUUACAUGAUGGUCAACAGGAUGCUAUUACCUGGAAAAAGAUGAAGGUCCAGCAUGGCAAUGAAAAGAAAGGGUCUCAUACAAAUGACGUAUCAUCUCCUGCCAAAAUCUCAAAAAUUGCUGAUUCUAGAGGUCCUAAUAUUCUUGAUGACAAAAUGCCUAGCAAAGAGCCUAAAAGGUUUACAUCAGUUGGGAAGGCUGAGGUCUUCCAGUCCAUUAGACCUACAGUUAUUAGUAACUCUGAAUCCGACAACGAUCUCCCCCCAAUAAAACGCCAUCGCCGGGAACCGGAAACAAUGUGUGCAUCUGCCUUGAUAUCUGAAAAUAGAUUGGAAACUUUUGUGUCAGAUAAGACUGACAAAGUACUUUCUAGCGAAGUCAUAUCUCCAGUUGUGCAGUUACCGUUGAAGCGUAGAUCUGUCCGCAUAUAUGAUGAUGAUGAUGAUGAGUUGCCUAAAACUCCUGUUCACGGAGGAACUUCUAGUAAGGUGUCUGUACCACGCCUAUCAGAUACAAAAAAGAAAUCUGUAACGCAUGGUGAGAAAUUUGUCCAUGAUCUCCAGGUGUUAAGAAAUUCAGGAGAAGUUGAAAAUGGGUUAAAAGAUCAGGUACAGUAUAAUGGAGUGAUGAAGAAGCUGCUAUCUCCAGCUUCUCAACAGGGUACGGAGAAGAGGACGCGAGAUUCAUCAGCACAUGUAUCUCCUAGUCCACAGCAGAUGAACUCUGAGAAAUUAGCCCCAAUGGAGGUUAAACCAGUUUCAGUUUCCCCUAAAAGGCCCCCCCAGUCUGUUGGUGGUGGGAGAGUGUCAGGAGAACUGGAAAGCAAGCAACCCAACAAGGCACCUAGUAGCGAUUUUAGGCAAAAAACUCCAGCAGGAGGCAACAAGAAUGCAGCAUCGUCUGAUAGGUCAAACUUAUUUCCUAAUCAAUUGCUAAGUGGAAGAAGCAAGCAACCUUCUUCUGGAGAGAGAAAGAAAACUACUCCAAAAUCAGGUUCGCGGAUCAAUGACUCUGUGGUUGGGGCUUCAAAGGAAAACAUCACGUCAAUUAAGGAAAGGGUGAAUGAUAGCAAAGACCACAAAACAAGUCACACAGUUGACUCAAAAACAUCAGACUCCGUCAUGUCAAUGAAACAUCUUAUUGCUGCUGCUGCUCAGGCAAGAAAGAAACAGACACACUUUCAAAAUACCCAUGGAAACCCUUUUCUUUUUUCUAUUUCUGACAUUGAGAUAGCUGGACGGGGACCAAGUCCUGCACCUGCUGCUUUGGUGUAUGAAGCAAGGAAUACACUCCAACUGGAUAUUUUAGGAGCUAAUCCAAUUUCUCCUUCCGCCAAUCUUCAUCAAAUCCAAUCUAGUCAUCAACAUGAGAAUGAUGAGCUUGAGGAGAGGAGGUUAAGCUCUGGUCAUCCAGGCACUGGGAGCUCUCUAAGUGGGGGUACUGAGGCAGCUGUUGCUCGUGAUACCUUUGAAGGGAUGAUAGAGACACUGUCAAGGACCAAAGAGAGUAUUGCACGUGCAACUAGACUGGCAAUUGAUUGUGCAAAGUAUGGACUCGCCAAUGAGGUUGUGGAACUUCUUAUACAGAAGUUAGAAAAUGAGCCAAGUUUACAUCGCAGAGUGGAUCUGUUUUUCCUUGUUGACUCAAUAACGCAGUGCUCUCACACCCAGAGAGGGGUCUCAUACGUCUCUACUGUUCAAGCUGCGUUGCCCCGCCUCGUUGGAGCUGCUGCUCCUGCUGGUGCUCAGGAAAAUCGUCGUCAGUGUCGGAAGGUCUUGCGUUUGUGGCUCGAGAGGAAAAUCUUGCCAGAAUCCAUUCUUCGUCGCUACAUGGAUGACUUUGGAGUGGUAAAUGAUGAUACAUCAAUCCCACUAAGACGCCCUUCCCGAGCUGAACGAUCUAUUGAUGAUCCUAUUAGAGAAAUGGAAGGCAUGGUUGUUGAUGAAUAUGGAAGCAAUGCUAUGUUUCAGUUACCUGGAUUUCUUUCAGCAAGUGUGUUCGAAGAAGAGGAAGAUGAGGAUGCUACUGAUACGAGUUUACGCCUGAAAGAUGAUGGUGCUUCACCUUCCAAGGAUGCACCUGCUAAAGGAAGAGAUCAUGAGAACCAUUCUGUUACUCCUAGCGAUAGGCGCCAUUGCAUAUUGGAGGAAGUUGAUGGUGAGCUUGAAAUGGAAGAUGUAUCUGGACACCAAAAGGAUGAGAGACUGACGAUGACUAAUGACACUAUUGAGCUCGCUUCAUUGGAGCUCAAUCCAGAUAGUGGCCGUGAAUCUUCUUCAAACACCUCCACCGAGUGGCUUCCUUAUCCAGAGGGGUCUCCUCCAUUACCACCUGGAUCUCCACCUAUGACUCCACCAUUGCCAUCUUCACCACCUCCAUCAUCACCACCUCCACCUCCACCUGCACCUCCAUAUUCUCCCCCACCUCCUCCACCACCCAUCAUAGUCCAACAUCCUUUUCCACAACCACCUGUUAAACCAUCUCAGCUACCUGUUGGUCCUGCAUCACAAGCUGGUCCAACUCCACCUGUUGGACCUCCACUAAGACCUGUUGAUCCGUCUCCUAUUGGCCCUCCACUGAGACCUGCCGGUCCUUCUCCACCAGUUGGACCUCCCCCACAUCUUCAUCCUCCACCUUUUGGUCCUCCGCCUCAUCUGGGUCCUGUGCCACUAAUUUCCCAGCAAUUAUUUCCGUCUCGGCCUCCACUUCCAUCACUGCCACUGUCUCCACAAUCAUCUUAUCGACCUCAUCCUUUACCACGUGAAGUUAGUGCCACACCCACUGGAAAUCAACAGACCAAUAUGGUUUCUACUAUUCAUGGGUCUCAUAUGGAUGCAUCUGUUAGAGGGGAAGUACCACCACAACAAUCAUCUUGUUUACCUCCUUCUGGGAUCAGCAAUGCACGAGAACAUGUUGGCCAUAAUUCGUCUAGGCAUGUGGAAUAUGGAGAGGAUAACACUUAUAUGAAUCCCCAAGCUUCACAGCAUAGGCAGCAGUAUCUGCCUGGUAGUGUGCCUUUCGCACAAAGGCCUGUGCAUCCUGAACUCCCAUCUCAACGACCACCUAACCAUUUCCCCUAUCCAAAUGCAGCUCAACAACAUCAGUACCCCUCUUAUUCAUUACCAAACUUUGCCGAUAAUCCAAGGAGAUAUAUAGCUGAUGAGCAAUGGCGGAAGCAAGGAAAUGACUUCAUUGUGGAUCAUCCUCGUGGUGGGUGGAUGCCAGGAGGAAGGUCAUGUUCUGGUCCAUCUUAUUCCCAAGAAGGUUACCAUGAAAGGCCUCCUUCAAGUACUACCAUAAAUUAUCAGCACUCUGCCCCAAAUAGUCUACCUUCGUCUGGUCAAAUGCCAGUUCAUGGUGUUCCCAUGAUGCUGCCUAGACCGAACAUGUCUUCCGUCAACUGGAGACCAGCAUAGACUUAUUCUGACUCAAAUUUUGUGACUAUCGUGUCGUUUGAAGUCUGGCAAAUGGAAGUAUGUUUAAAUUGAUUGAAAUCCAACAGCACAGAAAGAUGCAUGCAUCAUCCUGGAAAAUUCUCGAAUGGGCAAAGGAUAGAGAACUAUUGUUGCUGGAGUUUUUCAGGUUAUACAUUUGCGAGGAGUAUGGGCUUUAAUAUGCUCCAACUGAGAGGUUGCUUUCCAUCGGGAUAGAAUUGAAUUGGUGGGAAGUUGUUGGAAACCUUCACGGGUCUUUAUACUAGAAAAUUGCCUGACAAAAAGCAUUCAAGGGUUCACAACUAAUCUGAGAGGGAGGGAGGAGAAUCCCCAGAUCCGUCAGGGCUGUUACCCCACCGUCAAAGCUUCUCUGGCUAGCGAUUAUUAAAUUAAUUGUGUUCCUAUGAAUUUCGAAGUUUCUCUGGCUAGCGAUUAUUAAAUUAAUUGUAUUCCUACGAAUUUCGUCAUCAAUUUGGGGUUCUGAUUUUUAUUUUGUUGCGGAUGGAAAGAUACGGGAUAUUGGAUUAUGACAAUGGCGAAGUGGAAUUUGAAUCCAGAUUAAUGAUGGCAUCAUCACCGCCGUCGAGAUCACUACCGAUAUCUAGCUCGCCGUUCGAUGCCGCCGGGAUCGGCGGGCACAGUUACAUAAUACACACCGUUAGCAAAUACGACACUCUCGCCGGCGUCGCCAUAAAAUACGGUGUCGAGGUGGCAGAUAUUAAGAGGUUAAAUGGAUUGGUGACUGAUAUCCAAAUGUUUGCGUUGAAGACCCUUAAAAUACCAUUGCCAGGGAAGCACCCCAUGUCCCCCACCUUGUGCAAUGGCCAAGAGACUCAAUGGCCAAGCAGCUCCGAGCAGGACCCAUCCAGCAGUCGACAAUCUGAUUUAUUUGAUUCGUUUCAGUCUUUAAAAUUAAGUUCUUCAGAGCAUCAUAAUGUCUCACCAGCCAUGAACAGCUUACGAGGUUAUUAUGGUCUCAGACAACCAGAUGAAAAGGCUUCCUCCGAAGGUUUGGAGCGGAAUGGAAGAGCUAACUAUCUUAAGGAUGGGUCAUUUUACACACAUUCAAAACAUCCAUUGAGUCAUCAAAGAAAAUCGAGAAGUGUUGCUAAUAAUUUAAUGUAUGCAAAUGGUGGGCUGCAUAAUCCACUCUUGUCACCAGAAUCUGAAGAUAAUGGCACUAACAAAUGGAUUGAGAAGCUUUUAGGGAGGCGGCAAAAGUCUGAAACAGAACUAUCAUCUUGUCCCCCAGAAAAGCUUCUUAAGGAGGAAAGCAGCAGUAGCAGUGGUAUUUCAAGCGAAGGCUUGGCUCUCAGGUCCAAGGCAGCCACCAGAGCUUUUUCAGGCGAAGUAGAUGCUGACUCGGGUCGGCUGAACCCAAUUUCUUUAAAUUUGGGGGAAUCACCUCAAACUGACUCUGUCACUGUAGUACGGAAGUCAUCAAGUACAUCGAGUUUGAUGGAUACAGAUAUUAGUGCAUUAUCAUCUCUAUGGGCAACGUCUACGUGGAGUUUGAAGCCAGAUUUCCAGGCUCUCUCUUCUGCUGCGUUGCCUAUCUUUGAUGGUCUGCCUAAGCCAAUGAGCCGGAAAAACAAAGCUGCGCUCGAUUAGUGAGCCCAUUAAUCGCUCUAUUCUUUCAUCCACCUUGCAGAAGCUUUUACUGAACGCUGAGAUCAGUAAAAAUGAAUUUGAUGUGAACAAAUAUAGAUGCUUACGACCACCAGUUACGAAUCAGUCGCAGUUUUGGUAAAAUGAUACUCGAGUCGCCACUCUGAUGGUGUUGAAGAAAAAGUUGAUCUUCAUUCACCUGAGGAAUGGGGAGAACAGCAAAGGCUUUUUUUGCUGUGCUUUUGGAAUUGCUGCAGCAUGUGUACAUUCAACAUUCAUAGAUAGCGUGUAUAUUGGAUUGGACAGUCACCUUUCUUUUUAUGACAAGGAGAAAAGAAAAUUAUAUUUGUACUUGCACAUAUUUAUAUAUUACUCCCCAUUUAUAUUCUUUUUGCUUGA
This is an RNA transcript of Salvia splendens (bonfire salvia), 6721 nucleotides long. It is a transcript of the gene named ENHANCER OF AG-4 protein 2-like, with no coding region annotated. Lineage: Eukaryota; Viridiplantae; Streptophyta; Magnoliopsida; Lamiales; Lamiaceae. The transcript is spliced from 16 exons. The record is from RefSeq and is a predicted model, not a curated record.